Molecule: ribosomal RNA, 613 nt
Filed under: Rathayibacter sp. MAC-A2A-SW
Lineage: Bacteria; Bacillati; Actinomycetota; Actinomycetes; Micrococcales; Microbacteriaceae
Description: bacterial SSU rRNA
Rfam family: Bacterial small subunit ribosomal RNA
Source: RNAcentral
AUGCAAGUCGAACGAUGAAGCCCAGCUUGCUGGGUGGAUUAGUGGCGAACGGGUGAGUAACACGUGAGUAACCUGCCCUUGACUCUGGGAUAAGCGCUGGAAACGGCGUCUAAUACCGGAUACGACCUGCCCCGGCAUCGGGUGCGGGUGGAAAGUUUUUCGGUCAAGGAUGGACUCGCGGCCUAUCAGCUUGUUGGUGAGGUAAUGGCUCACCAAGGCGACGACGGGUAGCCGGCCUGAGAGGGUGACCGGCCACACUGGGACUGAGACACGGCCCAGACUCCUACGGGAGGCAGCAGUGGGGAAUAUUGCACAAUGGGCGAAAGCCUGAUGCAGCAACGCCGCGUGGGGGAUGACGGCCUUCGGGUUGUAAACCUCUUUUAGUAGGGAAGAAGGACUUCGGUUUGACGGUACCUGCAGAAAAAGCACCGGCUAACUACGUGCCAGCAGCCGCGGUAAUACGUAGGGUGCAAGCGUUGUCCGGAAUUAUUGGGCGUAAAGAGCUCGUAGGCGGUUUGUCGCGUCUGCUGUGAAAACCCGAGGCUCAACCUCGGGCCUGCAGUGGGUACGGGCAGACUAGAGUGCGGUAGGGGAGAAUGGAAUUCCUGGUGUA